This 4370-nucleotide long non-coding RNA is filed under the name Phaseolus vulgaris (common bean). RNAcentral describes it as "long non-coding RNA (PVUL_LNC000938)". Lineage: Eukaryota; Viridiplantae; Streptophyta; Magnoliopsida; Fabales; Fabaceae. The record is from RNAcentral.
UAGAUGGCAAGUUGAUCUAGAAUAAUAACUACUGCACAGUAUGAUAGAUACUGGAUCAGAAUUCAGAAAAGGAAGAAAGACAAAUUUUCUUAUAUAUUGAUUGAGUAUAAACAAAAAAUUCCCAGGAAAUAUAAUCUGACUGACCUAUCAUAGAAUUAGUAAUGAAUAACAACUCAAGCAUUCCCAUUAAAGCAAAUUCAGCUCAAUCUCAAAUAUGUAUCUUUCGUAAUGGAAUAUUUACAGUGACACUUCUAGAGUUUUGGGUACAAGAUGUAGAACCAAACAAGUAAAGCAAGUACUAAGUAAUGUACAGUUUCAAACAACCAGACAAGUACCACCAACAAGGGUUGGAUCUAACAUAAGGGACUUUUCUCCCAUGAUGUGUAACAAACUAAUAUUGGAAUCUCCAUUAGAAGAGACAUCCUUGUCCACAUCUGUAUCUGAAGUGUCUCGAACAAAAUUACCUCGAUGGAGAGAGUUCAGCGACUUGUCUCAGUUUCAGGAUGUGUGAUGAAUAAUGUUUUGUCAAACCCAUCCGGCAAUAGCCGCCUCGCUUCCAUCUCGCUACACAGCGACAAUGCCAACUGGCUUUUCCCACACCUGCCAAGUCCAUGACAGAGCUCAGAUAACAUGCUGGAAUCUGGACUCAACAAUCUGCCCAGCAUGUCCCUCAAAACCUGCACAGCCCCAUCAAAGUCCUCAUUCUUGCAAAAAGCAGAUAUCAGCAUCUGAAAAGUGUGCUCAUUUGGAUUACAACCACUCCUCACCAUGCUCCUAUAAAUAAGAAAGGCACGCUCAGAAUUGUUCCUCACACACUGCCCAGUAAUAAGAGCAGAAAAAGUACUCGCAUUGGGAACCAAGUUCUCUUUAUCAAGCUCCUUCACAAACCCUGCAGCCUUCUUUGUCUUCCCCUCCUUACACAGCCCCAAAAUCAACGCAUUAUAAGUUAAUAUAUCAGCCUUAACCCCAUUCCUCACCAUCUCCUCAUAAACCCUCCCACCCAUUUCACUGUCUCCAACCUCGCCAUACCCAUGCAACAAAGUAUUGUAAGUCACAACAUUGGGAGCCACAUUGGCAACCUUCAUCUCACGGAAAACCCUGUUCGCCUCAUGCAACUUCCUCUCCUUACAAAACCCAUUAAUCAGAGUGUUAAAAGUAACCACAUUCGCCUGCACUCCACUAUCCCCCAUCAAAGCCUUAACCUUUAACGCCAACCCAAACAGCCCCUUGUUACAAUACCCCGAAAUCAAAGUAUUGAAAGACACAACAGUAGGACUCAAGCCCAUGUCCCUCAUCUUCUGGAAAAUCUCAAACCCCUUCUGCACCUCCCCCAGCAUGCAAUGAGCACGAACAACCAUGUUGAGAGUGUACACAUUAGGCGAAACGUAAGAGCGACGCAUCUCCCGGUAAAACGACAGAGCAAUAUCAGCUCUGCGGAGGCGAAGCAGAGAACUCAAAAACGCGUUGCAGGAUUCAACAGUGAGGGAGAAGCCGUGCUGCUUCAUUAGGGUAUAGACGAGGGUGGCGCUGCGGAAUUUACUGGCGUGGGCGAGGGUUUUAAAGACGGCGUCGAAGACGAGAGGGGAAGCAUUGCAGAGAGGGUAGGAGUGUAGGAGAGAGUGGAAGAGGGUGUGGGGAGGGUUUGAAGAGAGGAUUUUUGUGAGGAUGGUUUGAAUGGUUUUGAAUUGGCGAUGCUUGGCGAGGGUGUGGAGGAGGAAAGAGAGGGUUUCGAGGGUGUGCGUUGAUGGGUGGUGAUGGAGGAGCCAUUGGGAGAGUUUGAGGGACAAAACGUGGUCGUCUUGGAGGUUGAGGAGGAGGUGUUUGAGACGGAACGGCGUGAGAACUGGGCACAAAGGGUGAAGCUUUUCCCAGUGGGAGUUGAUGACGUGACUGUAAGCGACAUUGAUGAAGUCCAGAUCCUGGCCUCGAGGUUCGGGAAGGGUUCGGUGAGGUAUCGGAAGCAGUUUUCUGUGGGUUGCUUGGUUUAUCAGAGUGCAGAAUCCACGAUUUCGCAUUCUUCACCUUCUUCCACACUCUCGUGGGUUAUCGCAGAACCAGAAUUUUUGAAUUUCACCUUCUCCCUUCCAUUUACGUUUAUACCCUUACACGUUGUCAAAAUAACGUUUUUGUAGAUGAAACUGCCCUAACUGACCACACUCUCUCCCAAAGCUCUUCUGGGUCGCCAACCGAGUGAACCGGAGAUCGGAAGUGGAGGAUGGCGACGGCGCCGGGAAACCAAAUGAUGGAGGGAGGACCGCCGCCGCUACCGGGGACCGAUAUGACCGGGAUAUGCUUCCGAGACCAGCUCUGGCUGAACAGCUUCCCUCUCGAUCGCAACCUUGUCUUCGAUUACUUCGCGCUGUCACCUUUCUACGAUUGGACUUGCAACAACGAGCAACUCCGUAUGCGCUCCGUUCACCCCCUCGACCUCUCUCAACUCUCGUAUGUAAAACCCUAAUUUCCUUCUCCUUUGUUCUUUUCGUUACUCUUUUAGGGUUUCGUGGAUUGUAAUAAUAGUUGUGGUCUUCAGGAAAAUGACGGGGACGGAGUAUAUGCUCAGCGAAGUUAUGGAGCCGCACCUGUUUGUUAUUCGCAAGCAGAAGAGAGAUAGCCCCGACAAAGUUACGCCCAUGCUCGCCUACUACGUCCUUGAUGGUUCUAUUUACCAGGCUCCGCAACUCUGCAAUGUUUUUGCUGCCAGAAUUGUGAGUUCUUGCUUCCUCUAUGUGUGUUGCAUGUUUCUGUUGUUUUUAGGCUAAGGAGGAUUCUUUGCUGUGAAUAACUUGCUUGCAUGAGAAUGAAGAGAAAUGGAUGUUUGUUGUGAUCGUGUGUGAUGUUGAACAGAGGAGGAGCAUGUUGAAGGAGAGAUUGUUGUAUUUACCAAUAGAAACUUCAGAGAUAUUUUUUUGUUCUGUGGGGAUUUAAAAUUUUCUUUUCCUUUUUGUGCAGGAUGUUUAAUUAAGAUUUAUCGUGUUAUUGUUUCACUACAAUCGUGAUUUAUCUAGGGUUUGGUUAUUACUUUGGGUUUUGGUUUCACUUUAUGUUGUUUACACUUUUUGCAUAAUUGGUGAUUUCUUUUUUCUGAGAAUAUCUGAACAUAAACCAGAGGAGAUCUCCACCAAGAGGAGUAUUUGAUUUGCCCAGAGCAGUAAAAAAUUCGUGGUUUUUUGUUAAUCAAUGGAGUCCUAUAUCAUUGUGAAAAUUAGAGAAAAGCCUCUUCAGUCUUGAAACAUAACAUUUUGUUUUCUGUUCGAAACUGUAUUAGUUUUAUCCGUCAGGUUUGGUGUUUUGAACAGGCAGCACUACAGUUUUAUACUUAAAAGGCCUUAUUCUACAAUUUUAGUGCAGUUUACUAGUUUUUCUAUUAGUUAGUUUUUUUUCUUUUUUUAUUAUGGGAGAGAUUUGGUGUCUAAUACUGGUUUUGUGAUUGAUCUUGCAGGGAAGAGCCCUUUAUUACAUACAAAAGGCAUUUACUACAGCUGCCUCAAAGUUGGAGAAGAUUGGAUAUGGUAAGUGCAGAUUAUGGGUUUUUUUCUUGUGGGAGAUUGUUGGUCACAGUUCUGGAUAGUGUUUGAAAAUGUCUUGUUAUUAAAGUUUUACAGCAGUAGUGAAGAGAAGUACAUACCCAUUUUAUUCCCCUUGUGUUCUUCCUGCUUGUAAGACAUGUCUUGGGAAGUUCUUAGUCAUAGAAUUGUUACAUUUCAUACUGCUCUACACAUUUACUGAUUUGGGAUUCUUCUAGCUGCUUCAGUGGAUUCUGAAAAUGAGACUGCAUUAGUGGAGUCAAAGACUGCUAAGGAGACCAUUGAUAUAAAGGAAGUUAAGCGUGUGGAUCAUAUUCUUGCAUCCUUGCAACGCAAGGUGGGUUGAAAAAGUGCAUGUUUCCUUAUGAAAAAAUUAUGUACAGAACUAUUAAAAUUACUACUAAUAUGUAUAAUAAAGGAAGGAUCAUAUUAUAUUAUUAAAGCAUGGGGGCUGUGGACAAGUGCCAUCUAUAUAAUUUUCCUAAUUCUACUCAAAAGGAACAUGAAAUUCUUUGUUUCCUUCCAUAGCAAUGAGAUUGGAUCCAGUUAUAAGAAAAAUAAAAUGCUUGACACUUGAUAAUUUACUUGCAGGAUCUAAAACUAUUUUUUACCUGUUUUUUGUUGUCUUGUCAUAUAAGAGUUCUGUUCUUAUGUGAUGCACACAUAAGAGGUUUUGACUGACAUGGCCAGGUUCCAAAUGAACUUAUUAAUGGAUAAAUUUGAACUACUAACACUAUUGGAAAUUUACCUCAUUCUGCUCUCAAUUUUUUUGUGGCUCUCAUGCUUUAUUAUUGGUGAGAAAUGAGUAUUAACUUGCUACUGCUUGCUGCUGCCUGCUGCAGUUAC